Molecule: ribosomal RNA, 1385 nt
Filed under: Blastodinium sp. 1 CAdS-2011
Lineage: Eukaryota; Dinophyceae; Blastodiniales
Description: SSU rRNA
Rfam family: Eukaryotic small subunit ribosomal RNA (bases 1-1194)
Source: RNAcentral
AGCGUAUAUUAAAGUUGCUGCGGUUCAAAAGCUCGUAGUUGGAUUUCUGCCGAGGGCGAUCGGUCUGCCCUCUGGGUGUGUUAUCUGUCUCGGCCUGGGCAUAUUCUUGGAGAACGCCACUGCACUUGAUUGUGUGGUGCGGUAUCCAAGACUUUUACUUUGAGGAAAUUAGAGUGUUUCACGCAGGCAAUCGCUUUGAAUAUAUUAGCAUGGAAUAAUAUGAUAGGAUAUCGGUUCUAYUUUGUUGGUUUCUAGAAUUGAUAUAAUGAACAAUAGAAAUAGUCGUGGGUAUUCAUAUUUAAUUGUCAGAGGUGAAAUUCUUGGAUUUAUUAAAGAUGGACUACUGCGAAAGCAUUUGCCAAGUAUGCUUUCAUUGAUCAAGAACGAAAGUUAGGGGAUCGAAGACGAUCAGAUACCGUCCUAGUCUUAACCAUAAACAAUGCCGACUAGGGAUCGGAGGUCGUUAUCUGUAUGACUCCUUCAGCACCUUAUGAGAAAUCAAAGUCUUUGGGUUCCGGGGGGAGUAUGGUCGCAAGUCUGAAACUUAAAGGAAUUGACGGAAGGGCACCACCAGGAGUGGAGCCUGCGGCUUAAUUUGACUCAACACGGGGAAACUUACCAGGUCCAGACACAGUAAGGAUUGACAGAUCGAAGUUCUUUCUUGAUUCUGUGGGUGGUGGUGCAUGGCCGUUCUUAGUUGGUGGAGUGAUUUGUCUGGGUUAAUUCCGUUAACGAACGAGACCUUAACCUGCUAAAUAGUUACAUAUAACCUCGGUUAUGUGGGCAACUUCUUAGAGGGACUUUGUGCGUUUAGCGCAAGGAAGUUUGAGGCAAUAACAGGUCUGUGAUGCCCUUAGAUGUUCUGGGCUGCACGCGCGCUACACUGAUGCAUUCAACGAGUUUACGACCUUGCCUGGAAAGAUUGGGUAAUCUGUUUAAACUGCAUCGUGAUGGGGAUAGAGUAUUGUAAUUAUUAAUCUUCAACGAGGAAUUCCUAGUAAGCGCGAGUCAUCAGCUCGUGCUGAUUACGUCCCUGCCCUUUGUACACACCGCCCGUCGCUCCUACCGAUUGAGUGAUCUGGUGAAUAAUUCGGACAGCAGCAGUGCUUGGAUUCUCUAAGCGUUGCAGCUGGAAGUCUAGUGAAUCCUAUUACUUAGAGGAAGGAGAAGUCGUACAGGACUUUCCGUUCACGAAAUUUCCUCUUUCCAUCUCACUUGCAGCCGCUCGACCAAGCAUCUUGAAGUGGCGUUCUCCCAGAAAAUGAGUCGGCCGAGACGGAUUGGCCCCCGGAGGGCACACCGAUGACUGCUCGGCAGAAAUCCGACACCCAACUUUUGAACCGUACCAACUUUCAUCUUUGCUGUUGGAGGUGGAAUAACCACGA